Molecule: long non-coding RNA, 323 nt
Filed under: Nicotiana benthamiana
Lineage: Eukaryota; Viridiplantae; Streptophyta; Magnoliopsida; Solanales; Solanaceae
Description: long non-coding RNA (NBEN_LNC037218)
Source: RNAcentral
UCCCUCUGCCUCGCCGACCGCCAACAAUCUCCAGCCGCUCGCAGCUCCUCACUGGGGCAUCUGGACUUCUCAUCCGCACAUGCCCGAACCACCUCAGCCUUGCUUCUUGCAUCUUCCCAUCCACCGGGGCCACCCUCACCUUCUCUCGAAUAACUUCAUUCUUAAUCUUAUCUAGCCUGGCGUGACCGCACAUCCACCUAAGCAUCCUCAUCUCCGCAACCUUCAUUCUCUGAACAUGAGAGUUCUUCACGGGCCAGCACUCCGCCCCAUACAACAUCGUAGGUCUAACCACGGCUCAAUAGAAUUUCCCCUUUGAGUUUGUG